GCCAGGUGCAGUUGUGCGUUCCUGUAGUCCCAGCUACUCGGGAGACUGAGGUUGGAGGAUCUCUUGAGUCCGGGAGUUCUGGGCUGUAGUGCGCUAAGCUGAUCGGGUGUCCACACUAAGUUUGGCAUCAAUAUGGUGACCUCCCAGGAGCGGGGGGCCACCAGGUUGCCUAAGGAGGGGUGAACCGGCCCAGGUUGGAAACAGAGCAGGUCAAAAUACCCGUGCUGAUCAGUAGUGGGAUCACGCCUGUGAAUAGCCAUUGCACUCCAGCCUGGGCAACAUAGCGAGACCCCAUCUCUA
This is an unclassified non-coding RNA of Callithrix jacchus (white-tufted-ear marmoset), 300 nucleotides long. It matches the Rfam family "Metazoan signal recognition particle RNA". From Rfam's summary of the family: The signal recognition particle (SRP) is a universally conserved ribonucleoprotein. It is involved in the co-translational targeting of proteins to membranes. Lineage: Eukaryota; Metazoa; Chordata; Mammalia; Primates; Cebidae. The record is from Ensembl.